AACUGCUGCUAGUCAAAAUUCGUGAUCGACUGAUUGAAGGACGGCGGUGGGAGCUCGGACAAAGACAACAGGGAUAUAUCCCUACUGGGCGUUCCUCCUGACGAAGUCCAGGGAAGAGGGAGGAGAACUCCCUGGAGAACCACUGCGGCUGCUGGUGCUGAGGUUCUCAUAAUAACCCAUGAUUGUCGAGUAGCUCUUACGGGCUCUUUGAACGUCUUGGUCACUCAUUUUUGGUUUUUCUUGGGCAUAACUCUGAGGCUUUCUUUUGUUGAUUAGCGAAAUGUAAUCAAUGGAUCAGACACUAUGCGCUAUGUAUCCAAGCCUUCCACAAGUUGAUGCGUUGUCCUGGGCCGCCAUGCCACCUAGGGCGAUACUGUUGGCAAGACCCUAAUGGAAAGAAAAGCACUAUAAGCUUGAGACACAUAACCUAAAAGAGCUUGUUAGGUAUGUGGGCAACAAAGGUAUCCUCGAGGCCCACAAUGACGUCCCCGAUGUGAUCCGUGAACAGCUCUACAGAGAGGAGCACCGAAGACUUGAAAAACGGCAGUCGAGCGGCAGCAAUCCCCUUGCAUCCAAUCCACCCUAUCCUAUUAAUACUGUAUUAAUCUCUUGCCUACUCAGUCUCCUCAAACUUCCAUGGACACUUUAAGAAAUGUUACUUGCAUCGGUCCGACAGAUGAUGCCUUUGAGCAAGCAGGCAAUCCAGAUGAAAAUGCAGAAUCCGGCGAUUUGACAAAGGCGCUUACUUUCCACACUCUCACGGGGUUUAUACCAAUUUCCUAACAGACGGUAGCCAACGCAACACCAGCCAUCCCCUCAGAUACGAAUACUCACUGCCUCGAUUGCCCCAAAAUCCUUGGCCCUCGAGAUGAUGCCGUGAAGGCAUAUAGGAAGAGGCAGGAACUGAAUGUCACCAGUGAGACGUACAACGUGGAGAUUCGAAAAGCGUGUGAUGUAACGCUAGAAAAUUGCCUUGAUCUUAAGUAGAUUUUCAAUGACCAACACCCAACUUUCUUUGUUGAGAAUGGCGUAAAAAUAGGCAUUGCUCGCCGUUUUGGUCAACGACAUCGCUGCAUGGGCCGAACUGUAGGAGGAACUCUUGCAGAACUAGGUGAAUUGAGGACUACUCUAGCUUGCUGCUUGGGAUUCCUUUGUUAAUAAACAGAUAUAACCGAAAUCACAAGAUUUUAGAUUAAAAUAACAGCAUUAAUCAUGAGCCCCGUCCUUUAUUCUUAGUUUGUCCAUCUUCAAUCCAUCCAGAAUAUCAUCACUCUCGGGC
This 1279-nucleotide small RNA is filed under the name Histoplasma capsulatum. RNAcentral describes it as "hypothetical RNA". Lineage: Eukaryota; Fungi; Ascomycota; Eurotiomycetes; Onygenales; Ajellomycetaceae. The record is from RNAcentral. RNAcentral also lists the same sequence under 1 other name.